AUGCUUGUGUAUAUCUUGUUGAGGAAGGAAGCAGCAGAAAUAUAGCUUUGGACUUUAAGACCUCUUCCCAGUGAUGGAACAAAUCCUUCUUAUUGUUUGAGAGAAUUCAGAAAAUGCUUCAAACCAGAAAUAUUGGCUUAGCUGGCAACCAAUCUGACCUGUGGCUUAGGUACCAGAGGAUGUAUUGCCUCAACUCCCAGCCUUUUUGGUUACAAACUGCAUACUGUGCAAUAUUAUUGUUGUUCCUUCGCAGGAAUUCUGCCACCUCAGCUUAGCCCCGUUCCAGCAGAGAGCUGCUUUGUCUUGCACUGCUGUAUUCCCAUGCACCAUUUCAUCUCCCAGACUCUGCAGAGGACUUUACCAGCCACCGUCUUGGGUCAAUGCCCUCAAUCAGAGGUGAAAGAGCCUCCCCUGGCUCAGGAAUAGGUGGAUUCCCCUCUUCUACACCAUGGACACUACUCUGUGCAAGGUUAUGGGAUACUAUCUGUUUUCUCACCUCACACUUUCCAAGGGCCUUUAUAAGAUAUUGAACAAAUGUCCACUCGUCCUCAUCUCGUAAUGUGCCCUCUCCCCAAUCUUCAUCUUUCCUUCUUUAUUGAAAUCACAGCCAGACUGAACAAGAGCAUUUCUUAACAACAAACUUAUUCGAUUGCUAUUACUGUGCUGUAAUAAUAAGCUGAAAGCUCCUGAGGAAAGAGAGCUGCUAUUUUUUACCUGAUUUUUUCUGAAGAAAACUCUCAUCUUUAUCAUUAGGAUCUUUUUCACUAUAAAGUUUGCCAAGAGCUUCACCAUCUCCACUCAGUUCUUCCAGUGAUUGCUGCGUGGCACAGGACUGAGUUUGUACUCUGUCGAUAAGGCCAGAGAAGC
Molecule: long non-coding RNA, 867 nt
Organism: Nothoprocta perdicaria
Lineage: Eukaryota; Metazoa; Chordata; Aves; Tinamiformes; Tinamidae
Exons: 3
Source: RefSeq, a predicted model, not a curated record